CACAGGACAGGGUGGUGGCUAACGGCCACCCGGGGUGACCCGCGGGACAGUGCCACAGAGAACAGACCGCCGCUGCCUUCCAGGUAGCGGUAAGGGUGAAACGGUGGGGUAAGAGCCCACCAGUCCUCGUGGUGACACGAGGAGCUAGGUAAACCCCACCCGGAGCAAGACCAGACAGCAUGCGCCCGAGGGCUGUCCGCCCGAGCAUGCGGGUAGGUUGCUAGAGACCAUCGGCAACGAUGGCCCGAGAUGGAUGAUCGCCGAUC
Molecule: unclassified non-coding RNA, 266 nt
Filed under: Nocardioides fulvus
Lineage: Bacteria; Bacillati; Actinomycetota; Actinomycetes; Propionibacteriales; Nocardioidaceae
Description: partial ribonuclease P RNA
Rfam family: Bacterial RNase P class A
About the family: Ribonuclease P (RNase P) is a ubiquitous endoribonuclease, found in archaea, bacteria and eukarya as well as chloroplasts and mitochondria. Its best characterised activity is the generation of mature 5'-ends of tRNAs by cleaving the 5'-leader elements of precursor-tRNAs.
Source: RNAcentral